RNAcentral lists this long non-coding RNA (244 nucleotides) under Olea europaea (common olive). Its description in RNAcentral is "long non-coding RNA (OEUR_LNC001596)". Lineage: Eukaryota; Viridiplantae; Streptophyta; Magnoliopsida; Lamiales; Oleaceae. The record is from RNAcentral.
CACUCUCUCAGUCGCAUUCAUUGCCCCUCCGGCCAAGCCCGAAGGCUGGGUUGCCUGGGCUCUGAACCCAACUGGCAAGGGCAUGGCUGGGUCACAAGCACUCGUUGCAUUCAAGGACUCCAAUGGAUCUAUGGUUGUCAAAACCUACAAUAUCUCGUCGUACAGCUCUAUAGUCGAGUCGAAGCUAUUUUACGACGUGUUGGACAAGAAGGCGGAAUUUUCCGGCGGGGCGAUGAGGAUAUUC